Protopterus annectens (West African lungfish) is the source of this 102-nucleotide small nuclear RNA. The record is from RefSeq and is a predicted model, not a curated record. NCBI's taxonomy places the organism in Eukaryota, Metazoa, Chordata, Ceratodontiformes, Protopteridae.
GUUACUUUGGCAACACAUAUAAAACUGCAAUGAUACAGAGAAGAUCAGCAUGGCCUCUGCACAAGGAUGAUGCACAAAUUCUUGGCGGUGAGUCUGCAAUAA